This is a long non-coding RNA of Frankliniella occidentalis (western flower thrips), 1545 nucleotides long. RefSeq lists it as uncharacterized. The transcript is spliced from 3 exons. The record is from RefSeq and is a predicted model, not a curated record. Lineage: Eukaryota; Metazoa; Arthropoda; Insecta; Thysanoptera; Thripidae.
GAGGGUCGCCCCGCCCUGCCAGCGCCCGCCUCAGUCCAUUGCCCAUUGCAGCGCCGUGCGUGUCGCGCAGAAGGGAUGCACCGCGCUGACCUGCCCCAAAGCACCUUGGCGUGUGUCGCGUGAGCGACAGUGCGAGCGAGAGAGAGAGGGGGAGUGAACAAGGAUACAGGUCGGCCACAUGCUCUGCUGGUGAGGAGGUGCAAAUCACUCAGGUCCCCUUUCACCGUAGGCAGCGACGAAGUUUAGUAGAGACUGCAGCAGCCCGGAGACAUGCCCGUUCCGCCAGCGACAAUGAAUCCAGCCGUGCGCCUGGUCCAGGGGCCCGGGAAGGUGCUUCACGAGGAGAACAGCCGGACGGCGCUCACCAUGACCACCAGUACCAAGGAGGCCAGGAAGGUGCCCCAGUUCCUGGCGGCAUUCGCAGGUGAGUCGCGGGGAACGGUCGGGACGAGAAACGGACACCCCCUGGGCGACUUGGCUGAUCUCUCCAAUAGUUGGCCCCGCUUCACCGCCGACCUUGCGCUCCGCGUGCCGCGCAAUGUAAUAUGUAAUCCCGCGUUAUGCGUUUUGCUGUCGUCGCCGCGAUAAUGGCGACAAAUUAAAGGUCGGAAGGUCGGCUCGGCUUGGCUGAUAUACAACAACUAUACGGCAAUCAUCAUCAGUCCUCUGGCGCCGCAAAGCCGAGACUCGCAGAGAGGGAGGCGGGGGAGGGGGUUGUUUCUCGCAGGGGAUAGAGAGGAAUGGACCAUCGAUAACAUUGUGUUCGGGGCAUUCAAUUGUAUUCCUUGAGCGAGCUGCCCCGGCUCCGGCCGACCCCCCACGGCAGGGACUCGCGCCCUCGUGACAAUCGUCAUCGUCAUGACCAUCGCCAUCCGGAGCAUAGCCGCGGGGGAGGCGCGGGCGCCCCCGCCCGCCAGGACCACUCAUGUAACCUGAGGGUUGCGGGGUCUCGGGCGAUAACCCCGACCUCGGCUAUGGCGUGCGCGAGGGACGACACUUCGCGGAAAAACGAUAAACCCGCGACCGGCUCGGCUCCGGCCCCGCGAGGGAGAGAGAGAGAGAGGGAGAGGGAGAAACUGUCUGUCCUCUGGCAAGCCCGAGCAGCGCGAGCCACGCCAGGCCGAUGGGCUGCCUAUCUGGCCGGCGGCGGCGCACGGCGUCCCUCGCGACUGGACCGGCGGCCCCGGUGCGUUUCUGCACGCCGCCGCCGUGUAACGUGUACAGUGCGCCCCGUUUCGACACAGCAGGGAUUUGAUGACGCAAACUGCUAUCGCGCUGGCCGCUCAAUGUCCCGCUCCAACGUCACAUAGAACGGGAGCAGAGAGCGCUUUUUUGAUCGUCCAAAUCGCGGACGCGCGCGCGGGAGGCGUUUGGAUAUUUCAGCCGAAUAAUAACAACAACCGGCAGUCAUAACGAUUGAUAGGGAGUGGAAGUUUUGUUAGCGCCAAUUAAAGCGCCAGACGCAAAUGUGAAAGUCAUGCACGUUGAGUCCCACAUGACCACAAGUAUGUCCAAAAUGGCAUGUAAAGGGGACCCUCCCCCCUC